CGCAAGCCUGAUGCAGCGACGCCGCGUGAGGGAUGACGGCCUUCGGGUUGUAAACCUCUUUCAGCAGGGACGAAGCGCAAGUGACGGUACCUGUAGAAGAAGGACCGGCCAACUACGUGCCAGCAGCCGCGGUAAUACGUAGGGUCCGAGCGUUGUCCGGAAUUACUGGGCGUAAAGAGCUCGUAGGUGGUUUGUCGCGUUGUUCGUGAAAACUCACAGCUCAACUGUGGGCGUGCGGGCGAUACGGGCAGACUUGAGUACUGCAGGGGAGACUGGAAUUCCUGGUGUAGCGGUGGAAUGCGCAGAUAUCAGGAGGAACACCGGUGGCGAAGGCGGGUCUCUGGGCAGUAACUGACGCUGAGGAGCGAAAGCGUGGGGAGCGAACAGGAUUAGAUACCCUGGUAGUCCACGCCGUAAACGGUGGGUACUAGGUGUGGGUUUCCUUCCUUGGGAUCCGUGCCGUAGCUAACGCAUUAAGUACCCCGCCUGGGGAGUACGGCCGCAAGGCUA
Molecule: ribosomal RNA, 510 nt
Filed under: uncultured Actinomycetes bacterium
Lineage: Bacteria; Bacillati; Actinomycetota; Actinomycetes
Description: bacterial SSU rRNA
Rfam family: Bacterial small subunit ribosomal RNA
Source: RNAcentral